AGAGUUUGAUCAUGGCUCAGAACGUACGCUGGCGGCACGCCUAACACAUGCAAGUCGAACGAAGUAGCAAUACUUAGUGGCAGACGGGUGAGUAACAUGUAGGUAUCUACCCUUUGGCCUGGAAUAACACGAGGAAACUUGUGCUAAUACCGGAUAAGUCUUUACGGAGAAAGCUUUAUGCACCAUUGGAUGAGCCUGCACUUGAUUAGUUUGUUGGUGGGGUAAUGGCCUACCAAGACUGUGAUCAAUAGCUGAUUUGAGAGGAUGAUCAGCCACAUUGGGACUGAGACACGGCCCAAACUCCUACGGGAGGCAGCAGUGGGGAAUCUUGCACAAUGGAGGAAACUCUGAUGCAGCGAUGCCGCGUGAGUGAAGAAGGCCUUUGGGUUGUAAAGCUCUUUCGUCGGGGAAGAAAAUGACUGUACCCGAAUAAGAAGGUCCGGCUAACUUCGUGCCAGCAGCCGCGGUAAUACGAAGGGACCUAGCGUAGUUCGGAAUUACUGGGCUUAAAGAGUUCGUAGGUGGUUGAAAAAGUUAGUGGUGAAAUCCCAGAGCUUAACUCUGGAACUGCCAUUAAAACUUUUCAGCUAGAGUAUGAUAGAGGAAAGCAGAAUUUCUAGUGUAGAGGUGAAAUUCGUAGAUAUUAGAAAGAAUACCAAUUGCGAAGGCAGCUUUCUGGAUCAUUACUGACACUGAGGAACGAAAGCAUGGGUAGCGAAGAGGAUUAGAUACCCUCGUAGUCCAUGCCGUAAACGAUGUGUGUUAGACGUUGGAAAUUUAUUUUCAGUGUCGCAGCGAAAGCGAUAAACACACCGCCUGGGGAGUACGACCGCAAGGUUAAAACUCAAAUGAAUUGACGGGGACCCGCACAAGUAGUGGAGCAUGUGGUUUAAUUCGAAGAUACGCGCAGAACCUUACCAACACUUGACAUGUUCGUCGCGACUCUAAGAGAUUAGAGUUUUCGGUUCGGCCGGACGAAACACAGGUGCUGCAUGGCUGUCGUCAGCUCGUGUCGUGAGAUGUUGGGUUAAGUCCCGCAACGAGCGCAACCCUCACUUUUAGUUGCCAUCAUUAAGUUGGGCACUCUGAAAGAACUGCCAGUGAUAAGCUGGAGGAAGGUGGGGAUGACGUCAAGUCCUCAUGGCCCUUACGUGUUGGGCUACACACGUGCUACAAUGGUAUCUACAACAGGAAGCAAGACUGCGAGGUCAAGCAAAUCCUCAAAAGAUACCUCAGUUCGGAUUGCACUCUGCAACUCGAGUGCAUGAAGCUGGAAUUACUAGUAAUCGUGGAUCAGCGUGCCACGGUGAAUGCGUUCCCGGGUCUUGUACACACCGCCCGUCACACCAUGGGAGUUGGUUCUACCUUAAGGCAAGGUUUAAAACCCUUGACCACGGUAUAGUCAGCGACUGGGGUGAAGUCGUAACAAGGUAGCCGUAGGGGAACCUGCGGCUG
RNAcentral lists this ribosomal RNA (1455 nucleotides) under Pelagibacteraceae bacterium AG-390-M19. Its description in RNAcentral is "bacterial SSU rRNA". It matches the Rfam family "Bacterial small subunit ribosomal RNA". RNAcentral also lists the same sequence under 1 other name. Lineage: Bacteria; Pseudomonadati; Pseudomonadota; Alphaproteobacteria; Candidatus Pelagibacterales; Candidatus Pelagibacteraceae. The record is from RNAcentral.